This 65-nucleotide transfer RNA is filed under the name Apophylia sp. REN-2018. Its description in RNAcentral is "tRNA-Arg". Lineage: Eukaryota; Metazoa; Arthropoda; Insecta; Coleoptera; Chrysomelidae. The record is from RNAcentral.
AAAUAAGAAGCAAAAUUGCAUUUAGUUUCGACCUAAAAGAUUUGAUUAUUUUUAAUCCUUAUUUU